Molecule: small nucleolar RNA, 132 nt
Organism: Mastomys coucha (southern multimammate mouse)
Lineage: Eukaryota; Metazoa; Chordata; Mammalia; Rodentia; Muridae
Product: small nucleolar RNA SNORA17
Exons: 1
Source: RefSeq, a predicted model, not a curated record
CCUAUCCCUGGAAUCAUUACAGGUGUGGCUGCUAUGUCACAUGUAUGUCAACAGGUGACAAAGAGGAGGGAGGCUAUGUACAUUCUCAGUGUUCUGACCUAUGAACAUCUGAAUGAUUAGUAGCCCAACAUU